GGGUUUGUUGGCUUCAAUGGUAGAGCAUCUGCUCGGCAUGCAGAAGGCCCUGGGUUCAAUCCCCGGCAUCUCCA
This 74-nucleotide transfer RNA is filed under the name Sphaerodactylus townsendi. Its description in RNAcentral is "tRNA-Ala". It matches the Rfam family "tRNA". From Rfam's summary of the family: Transfer RNA (tRNA) molecules are approximately 80 nucleotides in length. Their secondary structure includes four short double-helical elements and three loops (D, anti-codon, and T loops). Further hydrogen bonds mediate the characteristic L-shaped molecular structure. tRNAs have two regions of fundamental functional importance: the anti-codon, which is responsible for specific mRNA codon recognition, and the 3' end, to which the tRNAs corresponding amino acid is attached (by aminoacyl-tRNA synthetases). tRNAs cope with the degeneracy of the genetic code in two manners: having more than one tRNA (with a specific anti-codon) for a particular amino acid; and 'wobble' base-pairing, i.e. permitting non-standard base-pairing at the 3rd anti-codon position. Lineage: Eukaryota; Metazoa; Chordata; Lepidosauria; Squamata; Sphaerodactylidae. The record is from RNAcentral.